UACGGGGGGGGCAAGCGUUGUUCGGAAUUACUGGGCGUAAAGGGCUCGUAGGUGGCCAACUAAGUCAGACGUGAAAUCCCUCGGCUUAACCGGGGAACUGCGUCUGAUACUGGAUGGCUGGAGUUUGGGAGAGGGAUGCGGAAUUCCAGGUGUAGCGGUGAAAUGCGUAGAUAUCUGGAGGAACACCGGUGGCGAAGGCGGCAUCCUGGACCAAUAUUGACGCUGAGGAGCGAAAGCCAGGGGAGCAAACGGG
Molecule: ribosomal RNA, 253 nt
Filed under: uncultured bacterium
Lineage: Bacteria
Description: partial 16S ribosomal RNA
Rfam family: Bacterial small subunit ribosomal RNA
Source: RNAcentral